GACGAACGCUGGCGGCGUGCUUAACACAUGCAAGUCGAACGGAAAGGCCCUGCUUGCAGGGUACUCGAGUGGCGAACGGGUGAGUAACACGUGGGUGAUCUGCCCUGCACUUCGGGAUAAGCCUGGGAAACUGGGUCUAAUACCGGAUAGGAGCCAUUUUUAGUGUGAUGGUUGGAAAGUUUUUUCGGUGUAGGAUGAGCUCGCGGCCUAUCAGCUUGUUGGUGGGGUAAUGGCCUACCAAGGCGGCGACGGGUAGCCGGCCUGAGAGGGUGGACGGCCACCUUGGGACUGAGAUACGGCCCAGGCUCCUACGGGUGGCAGCAGUGGGGAAUAUUGCACAAUGGGCGCCAGCCUGAUGCAGCGGCGCCGCGGGGGGGAUGACGGCCUUCGGGUUGUAGACUCCUUUCGCUAGGGACGAAGCUUUUUGUGACGGUACCUAGAGAAGAAGCACCGGCUAACUACGUG
This 465-nucleotide ribosomal RNA is filed under the name uncultured bacterium. RNAcentral describes it as "partial 16S ribosomal RNA". It matches the Rfam family "Bacterial small subunit ribosomal RNA", at positions 28 to 507 of the family's 1533-position model. The record is from RNAcentral.